AAAGUCUGGCAUGUGAGUCUGGCUGCCUGGUUCCAGCCCCAUCUCGUGUCUGCCCCUGACUGGGCGGACUUGGGUCAGGCAGGUGGUCCUUCCUGGGCCCGUUUCCUGGUCCCUGCGUUGGGGAAUGGCCUGAGGUUCCGGGGGAACCUUUUGCAGCUCAGACACCUAGAUUCAGCUUGCUGGGGACGGGGGGUUGUAAAUGUCCCCUGAAGCCUGUGGCAGCCGGGCAGGCAGAACCUCCAUUUCUCACCUAACAUGCAUGAGUGUGCCCUUGGGGACACAGCAAUGACCAAGGCAGAUGGGCGUCCCUUCCCUGGUGGCAUGGACAUUCAAGAACAUGCCGAGUUUUUGCACUGCAAGUCCAAAAAGUUUACAGACUUUGAUGAAGUCCGGCAGGAGAUUGAAGCAGAGACCGACAGGGUCACGGGGACCAACAAAGGCAUCUCCCCAGUGCCCAUCAACCUUCGAGUCUACUCGCCACACGUGUUGAACUUGACCCUCAUCGACCUCCCGGGUAUCACCAAGGUGCCUGUGGGCGACCAGCCUCCAGACAUCGAGUACCAGAUCAAGGACAUGAUCCUGCAGUUCAUCAGCCGG
Molecule: small RNA, 597 nt
Filed under: Pan troglodytes (chimpanzee)
Lineage: Eukaryota; Metazoa; Chordata; Mammalia; Primates; Hominidae
Description: processed transcript
Source: RNAcentral